UACGUAGGGUGCAAGCGUUAAUCGGAAUUACUGGGCGUAAAGCGUGCGCAGGCGGUUUGAUAAGUCAGAUGUGAAAUCCCCGGGCUUAACCUGGGAACUGCGUUUGAAACUGUCAAGCUAGAGUACGUCAGAGGGGGGUGGAAUUCCACGUGUAGCAGUGAAAUGCGUAGAGAUGUGGAGGAACACCGAUGGCGAAGGCAGCCCCCUGGGAUGAUACUGACGCUCAUGCACGAAAGCGUGGGGAGCAAACAGG
Molecule: ribosomal RNA, 253 nt
Filed under: uncultured bacterium
Lineage: Bacteria
Description: partial 16S ribosomal RNA
Rfam family: Bacterial small subunit ribosomal RNA
Source: RNAcentral